AACUCAUUAAAUAGAUAAACUAGUAGUAUCAUAUCAAAUAUAUGAAAACUCAUUGCUGGCUCACAAACUAUGUAUUCUGCAUUCAUCACGAAAUGCAGUCCUGUUCUGCCUUCACAUCAUGAACAUACUGGACUACCUGAAGUCUAACAAAUUUCCACACAAGUAUAUCCUCAAACGGUACACAAAGACUGCAAAAUCACAACCAACCUUUGAUACAAGGGACUACAACACAACUGCAUCGGAUGGAGCUCAAGACUAUCGAAGCAAGACAUCUUGCUACAGCUCAAUUUGAUGGUUAACAAGAAAGCAAUGAGAUCAGCAAUAUGACAGAGCCUUCUAUGUUCUCAAGAGGCUCGUGGAAGAGCUUGAUGCAAUACAUUCAGCAAAUCGAGCAGAUGCUGACGGAAGGAUGGCUGAAGAGGAUGCCGAAAUUGAAGAUGACCUUCAUUAUUAUGCAGCUGAAAUGCUCCACGCCGUUGCUCAAGCCAACCAAUGCAAGCAGGGUGUUCACCAAUUAAUGCAGCAGCGGCAGCAAGAGAUGAUGAAACUGCCGCUAUACUCUGAAACAAAGGGUAGGAAGAAAAUUAAUGCAGCAAAGAAAAGUUACAAGAGAGCUCAAAUAAAGGCACCACCUGCAGGAAGAGUCGUCGUGCUCGAUGAGAACGGGGUGCCACUUGGACACAGGCAAUGUAGU
Molecule: long non-coding RNA, 694 nt
Filed under: Triticum aestivum (bread wheat)
Lineage: Eukaryota; Viridiplantae; Streptophyta; Magnoliopsida; Poales; Poaceae
Description: long non-coding RNA (TAES_LNC000145)
Source: RNAcentral